AGCGAACGCUGGCGGCAGGCUUAACACAUGCAAGUCGAGCGGGCGUAGCAAUACGUCAGCGGCAGACGGGUGAGUAACGCGUGGGAACGUACCUUUUGGUUCGGAACAACCCAGGGAAACUUGGGCUAAUACCGGAUAAGCCCUUACGGGGAAAGGAUUUAUCGCCAAAAGAAUCGGCCCGCGUCUGAUUAGCUUGUUGGUGAGGUGACGGCUCACCAAGGCGACGAUCAGUAGCUGGUCUGAGAGGAUGAUCAGCCACAUUGGGACUGAGACACGGCCCAAACUCCUACGGGAGGCAGCAGUGGGGAAGUAUUGGACAAUGGGCGCAAGCCUGAUCCAGCCAUGCCGCGUGAGUGAUGAAGGCCCUAGGGUUGUAAAGCUCUUUUGUGCGGGAAGAUAAUGACUGUACCGCAAGAAUAAGCCCCGGCUAACUUCGUGCCAGCAGCCGCAGUAAG
RNAcentral lists this ribosomal RNA (455 nucleotides) under uncultured bacterium. Its description in RNAcentral is "bacterial SSU rRNA". It matches the Rfam family "Bacterial small subunit ribosomal RNA", at positions 29 to 524 of the family's 1533-position model. The record is from RNAcentral.